This 251-nucleotide ribosomal RNA is filed under the name uncultured prokaryote. RNAcentral describes it as "partial 16S rRNA". It matches the Rfam family "Bacterial small subunit ribosomal RNA", at positions 525 to 775 of the family's 1533-position model. The record is from RNAcentral.
ACGUAGGAUGCGAGCGUUGUCCGGAAUUAUUGGGUUUAAAGGGUGCGUAGGCGGCUGUUUAAGUCAGAGGUGAAAUCCCCGGGCUUAACGCGAGGAUUGCCAUUGAUACUGAAGAGCUUGAGUUCAGUAGAGGUAAGCGGAAUGCGUAGUGUAGCGGUGAAAUGCUUAGAUAUUACACAGAACACCGAUUGCGAAGGCAGCUUACUGAACUGACACUGACGCUGAGGCACGAAAGCGUGGGGAUCAAACAG